GGGCCAGCAGCUUGACGUUGAGCUCGGCGUAAUUAGCGCCGACCGGGUCAAGAAUGACGUUGAACGGUGCAAAAUCGUUCAGGCCCUC
This 88-nucleotide transfer RNA is filed under the name Pseudomonas syringae pv. actinidiae. RNAcentral's name for it is "tRNA-Asn". Lineage: Bacteria; Pseudomonadati; Pseudomonadota; Gammaproteobacteria; Pseudomonadales; Pseudomonadaceae. The record is from RNAcentral.